Molecule: ribosomal RNA, 460 nt
Filed under: uncultured bacterium
Lineage: Bacteria
Description: partial 16S ribosomal RNA
Rfam family: Bacterial small subunit ribosomal RNA
Source: RNAcentral
CCUACGGGAGGCAGCAGUGAGGAAUAUUGGUCAAUGGGCGGGAGCCUGAACCAGCCAAGUCGCGUGAGGGAAGACGGUCCUAUGGAUUGUAAACCUCUUUAGGCGGGGAGCAAUGCCGGGCCCGUGUGCCCGGAGGGAUAGUCCCCGCAUCAUACGCAUCGGCUAACUCCGUGCCAGCCGCCGCGGUAAUACGUAGGAUGCGAGCGGUAUCCGGAUUUAUUGGGUUUAAAGGGUGCGUAGGCGGAUUUUUAAGUCAGCGGUAAAAUGACCGGGCUCAACCCGGGCCGGCCGUUGAACUUGGGGAUCGUGAGUGGGCGAGAGGUGUGCGGAAUGCGUGGUGUAGCGGUGAAAUGCAUAGAUAUCACGCAGAACUCCGAUUGCGAAGGCAGCAUACCGGCGCCCGACUGACGCUGAGGCACGAAAGCGUGGGGAUCGAACAGGAUUAGAUACCCCUGUAGUC